Molecule: long non-coding RNA, 1540 nt
Filed under: Oryzias javanicus (javanese ricefish)
Lineage: Eukaryota; Metazoa; Chordata; Actinopteri; Beloniformes; Adrianichthyidae
Description: lncRNA (ENSOJAG00000001719.1)
Source: RNAcentral
GGCUGAGGGACCGGAUUGUAUGUGGGAUUAAUGAUGACAGGAUCCAAAGGCGUCUGCUGGCGGAAACGGAUCUAACCUUUGAAAAGGCUAUGGGGAUUGCAGUAUCACAUGAGACGGCAAAUAAAAAUGCACAGGACCUGCAGACGGGCACAUCUACAAAAUGCUACAACAUCCGUAAAGGACACCAGGAACCUCGGACAUUCCAAAAGGACAGCCCAGAAUGCUACAGGUGCAAAGGAACCAGACACACAGCGGCCGAAUGUAAGUACAAAAGAGAAAAAUGUCAUGCGUGUGGCAAAGUGGGUCAUAUAGCAAGAGCCUGUAGGAGCAAAGUUAAAAACAACCAGGACAAACAUGAACAUAAAUACCAGAAGAGAGAAAGUAAACGGGGAUCUUACUAUCACUCACACAAAGUUUAUGACACAGAAGAGGAAAAGAAAAGUGAGGAUGAUGAACAGGACACUUUCACAUUAAACUGCAUCAAAAAUGGACCAAAGCUAGGGGGAAAAGUGUACAAGAUAGGACGUCAGGCCGGAGUGGACCUAAAAAAAGUCGAGCCUUACACUGUGAAAUUAAAACUUGAUGGACAACAAGUCAACUUUGAAAUUGACACCGGAUGCUGCUUAACAGUUAUGAGUGAAGGAGCAGUAAAAGAGACCUGGAAAAACACAAAACUUCCAACUUUGAAGCCCGCCAAAAUUAAAAUGCAAACCUAUACAGGGGAUCCUGUGGAGGUUAUUGGUACCACAAGAGUAAAGGUGCAGUACCAACAGCAGACAUUGAAGCUGCCCCUGAUCGUUGUAAAAGGGGACGGGCCCAGCUUGCUAGGUCGAGGCUGGCUGGAGGAUAUCAGUCUGGAUUGGAGAGAAAUAAAACACAGAUGCCAAGCUGAGAGAGUGAAUAAAGUCAAGGCAACCGAAUAUACACUACAGCAAGUGUUGAACAGGCAUGAAAAUGUAUUCAAAGAGGAACUGGGCACUCUGAGAGGCACCAAAGCCACCAUUCGGGUGAAAUCGGAUGCCUCUCCCCGUUUCUUUCGUCCUCGUUCCAUUCCUUUUGCUAUGCGAGCAAAAGUAGAUGAAGAAAUAGAACGUCUGUUAAGGGAAAACAUCAUCUCACCUGUCAAGUAUGCUGAGUGGGCAGCGCCUGUGGUGCCCAUUCUUAAACCUACAGGGACUGUAAGACUGUGUGGAGAUUACAAACUAACUGUAAAUACUGUGGCUUCUUUAGAGCAGUACCCCAUACCAAAAAUGGAGGAUCUGUUCACAGCACUUUCAGGAGGAAAGCAGUUCUCUAAGCUAGACAUGAGUCAUGCUUACCAACAAAUACUGCUGGAUGAGGAUUCCCAGAAAUAUGUGACGGUGAACACACACCGAGGACUUUUCACAUACAACAGACUGCCAUUUGGAGUCGCAUCAGCACCCGCCAUCUUCCAGAGGACGAUGGAAAACCUAUUAAAAGGUAUACCUUUUGUUGUUGUUUAUUUAGAUGACAUCUUGGUGAGUGGCAAGGAUGAGGCCGACCACCUAAAAAACUUAAC